UGCGGGGCGCAGCUACCAUGCAGUCGAGCGGUAACAGAUCCAGCUUGCUGGAUGCUGACGAGCGGCGGACGGGUGAGUAAUGCAUAGGAAUCUGCCCGAUAGUGGGGGAUAACCUGGGGAAACCCAGGCUAAUACCGCAUACGUCCUACGGGAGAAAGGGGGCUUCGGCUCCCGCUAUCGGAUGAGCCUAUGUCGGAUUAGCUAGUUGGUGAGGUAACGGCUCACCAAGGCGACGAUCCGUAGCUGGUCUGAGAGGAUGAUCAGCCACAUCGGGACUGAGACACGGCCCGAACUCCUACGGGAGGCAGCAGUGGGGAAUAUUGGACAAUGGGGGGAACCCUGAUCCAGCCAUGCCGCGUGUGUGAAGAAGGCCCUCGGGUUGUAAAGCACUUUCAGCGAGGAAGAACGCCUAGCGGUUAAUACCCGCUAGGAAAGACAUCACUCGCAGAAGAAGCACCGGCUAACUCCGUGCCAGCAGCCGCGGUAAUACGGAGGGUGCAAGCGUUAAUCGGAAUUACUGGGCGUAAAGCGCGCGUAGGUGGCUUGAUAAGCCGGUUGUGAAAGCCCCGGGCUCAACCUGGGAACGGCAUCCGGAACUGUCAAGCUAGAGUGCAGGAGAGGAAGGUAGAAUUCCCGGUGUAGCGGUGAAAUGCGUAGAGAUCGGGAGGAAUACCAGUGGCGAAGGCGGCCUUCUGGACUGACACUGACACUGAGGUGCGAAAGCGUGGGUAGCAAACAGGAUUAGAUACCCGUGGUAGUCAA
Molecule: ribosomal RNA, 762 nt
Filed under: Halomonas sp.
Lineage: Bacteria; Pseudomonadati; Pseudomonadota; Gammaproteobacteria; Oceanospirillales; Halomonadaceae
Description: bacterial SSU rRNA
Rfam family: Bacterial small subunit ribosomal RNA
Source: RNAcentral